GAUGAACGCUGGCGGCGUGCCUAAUACAUGCAAGUCGAGCGAACAGACGAGGAGCUUGCUCCUCUGACGUUAGCGGCGGACGGGUGAGUAACACGUGUAUAACCUCCCUAUAUACUGGGAUAACUUCGGGAAACCGGAGCUAAUCCCGGAUAAUAUAUUUAACCGCUUGGUUCAAUUGUGAAAGACGGUUUUGCUGUCACUUAUAGAUGGAUCCUCGCCGUAUUAGCUAGUUGGUAAGGUAACGGCUUACCAAGGGAACGAUGGGUAGCCGACCUGAGAGGGUGGUAGGCCACACGGGAACUGAGACGCGGUCCAGGCUCCUACGGGAGGCAGCAGUAGGGAAUCGGCGGCAAUGGGGGAAAGCCUGACGGAGCAACGCGGCGUGAGUGAUGAAGGUCUUCGGAUCGUAAAACUCUGUUAUGAGGGAAGAACAGAUGUGUAAGGAACUAUGCAGGGCUUGACGGUACCUAAUCAGAAAGCCACGGCUAACUACGUG
Molecule: ribosomal RNA, 496 nt
Filed under: uncultured bacterium
Lineage: Bacteria
Description: partial 16S ribosomal RNA
Rfam family: Bacterial small subunit ribosomal RNA
Source: RNAcentral